This 94-nucleotide ribosomal RNA is filed under the name Orenia marismortui. Lineage: Bacteria; Bacillati; Bacillota; Clostridia; Halanaerobiales; Halobacteroidaceae. The record is from RNAcentral.
CACACCUGUUCCCAUUUCGAACACAGCAGUUAAGUCCUCCAGCGCCGAUGGUACUGCAGGGGUAGCCCUGUGGGAGCGUAGGUCACUGCCAGAA